Molecule: ribosomal RNA, 441 nt
Filed under: uncultured bacterium
Lineage: Bacteria
Description: partial 16S ribosomal RNA
Rfam family: Bacterial small subunit ribosomal RNA
Source: RNAcentral
CCUACGGGGUGCUGCAGUGGGGAAUAUUGCACAAUGGGGGGAACCCUGAUGCAGCGACGCCGCGUGAGUGAAGAAGUAUUUCGGUAUGUAAAGCUCUGUCAGCAGGGAAGAAGAAUGACGGUACCUGACUAAGAAGCCCCGGCUAACUACGUGCCAGCAGCCGCGGUAAUACGUAGGGGGCAAGCGUUAUCCGGAUUUACUGGGUGUAAAGGGAGCGUAGGCGGUUUAGCAAGUCAGAAGUGAAAGCCCGGGGCUCAACUCCGGGACUGCUUUUGAAACUGUCGGACUAGAGACGGCGAGAAGUACGCGGAAUGCGCGGUGUAGCGGUGAAAUGCAUAGAUAUCGCGCAGAACACCGGUUGCGAAGGCAGCGUACCGGCGCCGGACUGACGCUGAGGCACGAAAGCGUGGGUAUCGAACAGGAUUAGAUACCCCAGUAGUC